RNAcentral lists this ribosomal RNA (579 nucleotides) under Triticum aestivum (bread wheat). RNAcentral describes it as "partial small subunit ribosomal RNA". Lineage: Eukaryota; Viridiplantae; Streptophyta; Magnoliopsida; Poales; Poaceae. The record is from RNAcentral.
AUGAGGUUCUCCAAGGCCUGCCGGUGGAAGGUGGCGCUGCAGGUUGAGCGGGGUGGCGCUCCGGUGGCGACGACGGCGGGGCCCGGUCGGAUCCGGGCGGAUCUGGCCGGGACGGAUCCAUUUCCGGCGGAUUUGGCGUGGAGGCGGCCGGAUCCGGCGAGAAUGAGGGCCGGCGGCGCCAUGGAGGUCCCUGUCCAGCAAGAAAGAGGGAGAGAGUACUCCUUCCCCUCCAUAUUUUGCACCUUAUCCGCACCCCGCGCGGCGGCGGACGAGAAGCUGAGGGGCGGCGCCGCACUCUCCGACUUCUGCCUCCACCCCAUCUACGCGUCAUCCUCCGUCCGCGCGGGCGCAGGCGGCUACCGUGCCCCGGAGAUGGUGGACACGCGGCGGCCCAUGCUGAAGGCGGACGACUACUCCUUGGGCGUGCUCCUGCUGGAGCUCCUCACCCGCAAGUACCCGACGGACGCGUCCUUGCAGCAGCGUGACAGCGACACGCUGGACCUGCCGCGGUUGGUGCAGUCGGUGGUGUGCGAGGAGUGGACGUCCGAUCUGUUUGUAUUGGAGCUGGUGCCGAUAUAG